Molecule: long non-coding RNA, 3038 nt
Filed under: Citrus x clementina
Lineage: Eukaryota; Viridiplantae; Streptophyta; Magnoliopsida; Sapindales; Rutaceae
Description: Citrus clementina (C. clementina) long non-coding RNA (CCLE_LNC003653)
Source: RNAcentral
UCUCAAUACUAUAUGUGACUCAUUUAUUAGAUGAUGAAUAUAAAAUUAGUUAUUAUUAUACUCUUACCAUUUAAUUGAUAAAUACCAAAUUAGUUGAAAUUUAAAUAUUGGGUUAUAUAGCAUUACUCAAAUGAUGCAGUAGAAAUAAAUAAUUGUGACCGGAAUUAUUUCUUAAGGAUAUUAGAUUUGUUUUCAAAACGAUAAUUUACCAAAAUGCAGAUAAGGAUACCAGUUCGCGGUUAAAGGUCCAUAAUCAUGAUUUAUGCAAUAGUGAUGAUUGGUGUGGUGAAUUCGUGAAUGUACGUACAUAAAAAGAAUGAUAAUGGCAGCUACAAAAAAGAACCACCCAUGUCAAGGUUUUCUUAAGUUAUAUUUAAUAUAAAUUAUAGUCAAGUAAGAUUUAUUUACUGUCUCACUUGACUUCACUGAUUUGUUACUCAUUUUUGCACGUAAAAAUUUUGAUUGUAAAUUAUAAUAAACGUUACUUAAGAAAGUCCAACGUGCCAACGUCUUUUGAAUUUCUUAUCUGGAAAAACAAAAAAAAAGAACGUCACUUGAAUUUGAUAACUUCCUCAGUUGACAUUUCAUUGGUAAAUACCAAACACAGAUAGCGGACAGAAAGAGUUGGGGGCAGCACGUCUUUUCUUCUACUUGGGCUCAUUCCUUAGUCCUUACCUAAUAUUUCUAAGAUUUGAGUCUUCAUAUAGUACAGUGCUGUAUGACAUACAGCCUCCUUUUUCCACUUGAACAACCGGUAUUUUACCGGUUGUUCUUUCAAUAAUUUAAAAAAAAAUCAUUUUUAAUGCAGAAAAAAUAAAAUAAAAUGAAAAAAAUUAAGGAAAUUUAUAAACAUUUAACUUAAAAAAUAUUUGAGUGAGAAAAAUAUUUUUAAUCUAAAUGAAAGUUAAAAAAAAAGGUAAAAUAAUCAUGUCCCAAUACUUUUGGUUAAAUAUCAAUAUAUUAAGUUGAUAUUUCAAGUUAAUUUCACAUGUCUCUAAUUUUGGUUAAACUUUCUCACGAAUAGGUUCAUUUGUUUCUACUUUCUAAUUCACUAGUUUUGUGUUUCAUAUUCCUAUUAAAUUCGUUAGAUACUAAUAUUUUGGGUUAAAUUCCAAGUAGAUUCGUUUCUCGUUAAAACAGUUUCUAAAUUUGGUUAUUCUUUCUCCCCUUUUGGUUUAUAUGUUUCAACUAUUAUUCCACUGGUUUUGCGUUUAAUAUUCCAACUAACUUGGUAAGAUUCCGGUUGUUUGGGUUAAAUACCCAAAUUAUUUUUUUUGGUUACAUUAGUUCCUGAUUUUGAUUAAUUUUUUUCAUUUAUAGGUUCAUAUGUUUCAAUUUAUUACUCCACCGAUUUUACGUUUGAUAUUCCUACUAAAUUCGUUAAAUGCCAAAAUUUUGGGCUAUGUUCCAAGUAACUUUAAUUUUCCGUUGGAUGAGUUCCUAUUUUUCAUUGCACUUUCUCUCUUAUUGGUUCAUGUGUUUCAACUAAUUGUUACUCUAAUUUUGAGUUGAAUAUUCCCAUUAAUUUGGUAAGAUUCCAAUUAUUUCGGUUAGUUACAAAUUUAUUUUUCAUAAUUUUAUUUUUGGUUAGGUAAGUUCCUAAUUUUGGUUAUAUUUUCUCCAUUAUGGGUCUAUAUAUUUCAACUAUUAUUUCACUGAUUUUGGGUUUAAUAUUCCAAUUAACUUAGUAAGAUUCCGGUUGUUUGGGUUAAAUGCCCAAAUUAUUAUUUUUUGUUAGAUUAGUUCCUGAUUUUGAUUAAGUUUUUUCAUUUAUAGGUUCAUAUGUUUCAAUUUAUUACUCCACCGAUUUUACGUUUAAUAUUCCUACUAAAUUUGUUAAAUGCCAAAAUUUUGGGUUAUGUUCCAAGUAAUCUUAAUUUUCCGUUGGAUGAAUUCCUAUUUUUCGUUGUAUUCUCUCUCUUAUUGGUUCAUGUGUUUCAACUAAUUGUUACUCUAAUUUUGUGUUGAAUAUUCUCAUUAAUUUGGUAAGAUUCCAAUUAUUUCGGUUAGUUACCAAAUUUAUUUUUCAUAAUUUUAUUUUUGGUUAGAUAAGUCCCUAAUUUUGGUUAUACUUUCUCCCUUAUGGGUUCAUAUAUUUCAACUAUUAUUUAACUGAUUUUGCAUUUAAUAUUCUAAUUAACUUGGUAAGAUUCCGGUUGUUUGGGUUAAAUACCCAAAUUGUUUUAUUUGGUUAGAUUAGUUCUUAAUUUUGGUUAAGUUUUUUCAUUUACAGGUUCAUAUGUUUCAACUUAUUAUUUCAUCGAUUUUACGUUUGAUAUUCCUACUAAAUUUGUUAAAUACCAAAAUUUUGGGUUAUGUUCCAAGUAAUUUUCAUUUUCCGUUUGAUGAGUUCCUAAUUUCCGUUGCACUUUCUCUCUUAUUGGUUCAUUUGUUUCAACUAAUUGUUACUCUAAUUUUGUGUUGAAUAUUCCCAUUAAUUUGGUAAGACUCUAAUUAUUCCGAUUAGGUACCAAAUUUAUUUUUCAUAAUUUUAUUUUUGGUUAGGUAAGUCUCUAAUUUUGGUUAUACUUUCUCCUUUAUGGGUCUAUUUGUUUCAACUAUUAUUCUACUAAUUUUGGUUUGAACCUUCCCAUUAACUUGGCAAUAUUCCAAUUAUUGGGUUAAAUAGUCAAUGUACUCGUAUUACCAAUAACAAUAAUAUUAAUAAGCUGAAUUAUGUUUAACCCCUUACUAUUUUAGUAAAUAUCAACUUACUAUAUAGUACUAAAAAAUCUUUAUUACAACCCUUAAUCUUUUCUAAUAUUUUGUCUAUAAUCUAAGUCCAUUUUUUUUUCUAUUUUCUUCACUUGAAUUUGAUUGUGUGUGUGUGUGUGUGUGUGUGUGUGUGUAUACUUGAGCGAGUAAUCUUUAUACACAUUUAUUCUCAUUUUAUCAUUUUAAUUAAUUGUUUUUAGUUAUCAAGUAAAUUAAUGCAUUCGCUUUCAGCUUUCUCUUUACUCUUUAAAUAAUUUCUUUAAUUUUUCAAAAUUUGACAGUAGAUUAAAAGUAUAUAUAAAGGUGCGUGCAAUUGCUGUGUU